Molecule: long non-coding RNA, 492 nt
Filed under: Phasianus colchicus (ring-necked pheasant)
Lineage: Eukaryota; Metazoa; Chordata; Aves; Galliformes; Phasianidae
Description: lncRNA (ENSPCLG00000006527.1)
Source: RNAcentral
AUGCUUUUAAAAUGUUCCUACUUAGUACUGUAUACUGUAAUUCUGUGUUUCCAUUUCUUUUAGCAGCUGGAAUAACAGAAGAAUUUUUGCUGUGAUGUCCUCCAGUCGUCCUCUGCUGAAAUCUAAGCAAUCGUGCUGAGGUGCAGAAGACAAAAGGUCAAGUGCUCCUUUGCAUUCAUGCUGAUGUGUGUAAAUCAACAGAACUGUGCUCAGUUUUCCCAGGAGACUGACUUUGAGUGCACAGCAUUCAGAAAGGGGCAGUGCAUGUACUUGGCUGCACAGAAAGUGGAGGGAGAUGGUCACGUGUUCAUCAGUCAGUUUGCAAAGAAGAUUGCAUGCCAGGCCAAGGCCAUGUGAUGUAAUUCUUGGGUAUGACAUCUCCUCGUCAGUCAUAGAUGUGAGUAGAGUGAGUAGACAACCAUAUUCUUUUUAGUUUCUCCACCUUGAAGGGAGAAUAUCAGCAUCAUUUGAGUUACUUUUGAUACAAGUAUG